UACGAAGGGGGCUAGCGUUGCUCGGAAUCACUGGGCGUAAAGGGUGCGUAGGCGGGUCUUUAAGUCAGGGGUGAAAUCCUGGAGCUCAACUCCAGAACUGCCUUUGAUACUGAGGAUCUUGAGUGCGGGAGAGGUGAGUGGAACUGCGAGUGUAGAGGUGAAAUUCGUAGAUAUUCGCAAGAACACCAGUGGCGAAGGCGGCUCACUGGCCCGAUACUGACGCUGAGGCACGAAAGCGUGGGGAGCAAACAGG
Molecule: ribosomal RNA, 253 nt
Filed under: uncultured bacterium
Lineage: Bacteria
Description: partial 16S ribosomal RNA
Rfam family: Bacterial small subunit ribosomal RNA
Source: RNAcentral